RNAcentral lists this ribosomal RNA (497 nucleotides) under uncultured bacterium. RNAcentral's name for it is "partial 16S ribosomal RNA". It matches the Rfam family "Bacterial small subunit ribosomal RNA", at positions 28 to 507 of the family's 1533-position model. The record is from RNAcentral.
GAUGAACGCUGGCGGCGUGCCUAAUACAUGCAAGUCGAGCGAACGGACGAGAAGCUUGCUUCUCUGAUGUUAGCGGCGGACGGGUGAGUAACACGUGGAUAACCUACCUAUAAGACUGGGAUAACUUCGGGAAACCGGAGCUAAUACCGGAUAAUAUUUUGAACCGCAUGGUUCAAAAGUGAAAGACGGUCUUGCUGUCACUUAUAGAUGGAUCCGCGCUGCAUUAGCUAGUUGGUAAGGUAACGGCUUACCAAGGCAACGAUGCAUAGCCGACCUGAGAGGGUGAUCGGACACACUGGAACUGAGACACGGUCCAGACUCCUACGGGAGGCAGCAGUAGGGAAUCUUACGCAAUGGGCGAAAGCCUGACGGAGCAACGCCGCGUGAGUGAUGAAGGUCUUCGGAUCGUAAAACUCUGUUAUUAGGGAAGAACAUAUGUGUAAGUAACUGUGCACAACUUGACGGUACCUAAUCAGAAAGCCACGGCUAACUACGUG